This 464-nucleotide ribosomal RNA is filed under the name uncultured bacterium. RNAcentral's name for it is "partial 16S ribosomal RNA". It matches the Rfam family "Bacterial small subunit ribosomal RNA", at positions 339 to 795 of the family's 1533-position model. The record is from RNAcentral.
CUACGGGGUGCAGCAGUGGGGAAUUUUGGACAAUGGGGGCAACCCUGAUCCAGCCAUUCCGCGUGAGUGAAGAAGGCCUUCGGGUUGUAAAGCUCUUUCGGCAGGAACGAAACGGUGCGGGCCAAUACCCUGCAUCAAUGACGGUACCUGAAGAAGAAGCACCGGCUAAUUACGUGCCAGCAGCCGCGGUAAUACGUAGGGUGCGAGCGUUAAUCGGAAUUACUGGGCGUAAAGCGUGCGCAGGCGGUUAUGUAAGACAGGUGUGAAAUCCCCGGGCUUAACCUGGGAACUGCGCUUGUGACUGCAUAACUCGAGUGUGGCAGAGGGGGGUGGAAUUCCACGUGUAGCAGUGAAAUGCGUAGAGAUGUGGAGGAACACCGAUGGCGAAGGCAGCCCCCUGGGUCAACACUGACGCUCAUGCACGAAAGCGUGGGUAGCAAACAGGAUUAGAUACCCUAGUAGUC